GACUUCGUGUAUGUUUGAUUUCUUUUAGACCCAACCAAGAARAGAAUCUGAAUGGUCAGACUCUAUGUCAUGUCUUAUAAAGAAACUGGAACAACUGAAUUUAGAUAUUGAAGAAGCUCUGAGUGCUGGCUCUUCUCCCUCCAGUACUCCUUCUGCCAAAAGGCACAAGCAACGGUGCCCUGUUCAAGUGGAGACUGGCUUUUAUGGAGCUCAUCAAGGAAAGGGAUCUUGGAAAAAUAGAAGAGCAGGCUACCAGGAUCUAGAUUGUUCAUCUUGCCCAGUGUCCACUGGAGCACGACCAAAAACUGAUGUGCUGCUUCAGAAGCUAUGCAAAGAAAAAG
Molecule: long non-coding RNA, 341 nt
Filed under: Dromaius novaehollandiae (emu)
Lineage: Eukaryota; Metazoa; Chordata; Aves; Casuariiformes; Dromaiidae
Description: lncRNA (ENSDNVG00000004012.1)
Source: RNAcentral